Suricata suricatta (meerkat) is the source of this 534-nucleotide non-coding RNA. NCBI's taxonomy places the organism in Eukaryota, Metazoa, Chordata, Mammalia, Carnivora, Herpestidae. The record is from the annotation of a RefSeq genome assembly.
AAAAGAUCAGCUCUGAUCCUGUGUCAGUGACCAGGACUCAUCACAGAAACUCCUCACAAUGAGGUUCCCUGCUCAGCUGCUGGGGCUGCUGGUGCUCUGGAUCCCAGGAUCCAGUGGGGAUGUCGUGAUGACGCAGACCCCAACUUCCCUGGCCGUCACCCUGGGACAGCCGGCCUCCAUUUCCUGCAGGGCCAGUCAGAGCCUCCUCUACAGUGAUGGAAACACCUAUUUAGAUUGGUACCUACAGAAGCCAGGCCAGUCUCCACGGCUACUCAUCUAUGAGGUUUCCAACCGUUACUCCGGAGUCCCAGACAGGUUCAGUGGCAGCGGGUCAGGGACAGAUUUCACCCUGAGAAUCAGCAGGGUGGAGGCUGAGGACAUUGGAGUUUACUACUGCAUGCAAGGUACACAUGCUCCUCCCACAGUGGUUCAGCCCCGAACACAAACCUCCAUCCUGUCAUGGCCCCACUGCCCACACGUGCUAUUAGUCUGCGGAGCAGGCCCAGCAGAUCUGACUCUCUGGAGGAAGACUAG